RNAcentral lists this ribosomal RNA (500 nucleotides) under Brevundimonas diminuta. RNAcentral describes it as "bacterial SSU rRNA". It matches the Rfam family "Bacterial small subunit ribosomal RNA", at positions 169 to 703 of the family's 1533-position model. Lineage: Bacteria; Pseudomonadati; Pseudomonadota; Alphaproteobacteria; Caulobacterales; Caulobacteraceae. The record is from RNAcentral.
CCGAAUGUGCCCUUCGGGGGAAAGAUUUAUCGCCUUUAGAGCGGCCCGCGUCUGAUUAGCUAGUUGGUAAGGUAAUGGCUUACCAAGGCGACGAUCAGUAGCUGGUCUGAGAGGAUGAUCAGCCACACUGCGACUGAGACACGGCCCAGACUCCUACGGGAGGCAGCAGUGGGGAAUCUUGCGCAAUGGGCGAAAGCCUGACGCAGCCAUGCCGCGUGAAUGAUGAAGGUCUUAGGAUUGUAAAAUUCUUUCACCGGGGACGAUAAUGACGGUACCCGGAGAAGAAGCCCCGGCUAACUUCGUGCCAGCAGCCGCGGUAAUACGAAGGGGGCUAGCGUUGCUCGGAAUUACUGGGCGUAAAGGGCGCGUAGGCGGAUCGUUAAGUCAGAGGUGAAAUCCCAGGGCUCAACCCUGGAACUGCCUUUGAUACUGGCGAUCUUGAGUAUGAGAGAGGUAUGUGGAACUCCGAGUGUAGAGGUGAAAUUCGUAGAUAUUCGGAA